This 466-nucleotide ribosomal RNA is filed under the name uncultured bacterium. RNAcentral's name for it is "partial 16S ribosomal RNA". It matches the Rfam family "Bacterial small subunit ribosomal RNA", at positions 28 to 507 of the family's 1533-position model. The record is from RNAcentral.
GAUGAACGCUGGCGGCGUGCUUAACGCAUGCAAGUCGAACGGAAAGGCCCAAGCUUGCUUGGGUUCUCGAGUGGCGAACGGGUGAGUAACACGUGGGUGAUCUGCCCUGCACUUCGGGAUAAGCCUGGGAAACUGGGUCUAAUACCGGAUAGGACCACAUUUUGGAUGGUGUGGUGGAAAGUUUUUCGGUGUGGGAUGAGUUCGCGGCCUAUCAGCUUGUUGGUGGGGUAAUGGCCUACCAAGGCGUCGACGGGUAGCCGGCCUGAGGGGGUGUACGGCCACAUUGGGACUGAGGUGCGGCCGCGAUGCCUACGGGUGGCAGCAGGGGGGAAGAUUGCACAAGGGGUGCAGGGCUGAUGCAGCGACGCUGCGUGGGGGAUGACGGCCUUCGGGUUGUAAACUCCUUUCGCUAGGGACGAAGCGUUAUGUGACGGUACCUGGAGAAGAAGCACCGGCUAACUACGUG